AGAGUUUGAUCCUGGCUCAGGACGAACGCUGGCGGCGUGCUUAACACAUGCAAGUCGAACGGUAAGGCCCUUCGGGGUACACGAGUGGCGAACGGGUGAGUAACACGUGGGUGAUCUGCCCUGCACUUUGGGAUAAGCCUGGGAAACUGGGUCUAAUACCGAAUACACCCUGCUGGUCGCAUGGCCUGGUGGGGGAAAGCUUUUGCGGUGUGGGAUGGGCCCGCGGCCUAUCAGCUUGUUGGUGGGGUGAUGGCCUACCAAGGCGACGACGGGUAGCUGGCCUGAGAGGGUGACCGGCCACACUGGGACUGAGAUACGGCCCAGACUCCUACGGGAGGCAGCAGUGGGGAAUAUUGCACAAUGGGCGCAAGCCUGAUGCAGCGACGCCGCGUGAGGGAUGACGGCCUUCGGGUUGUAAACCUCUUUCAAUAGGGACGAAGCGCAAGUGACGGUACCUAUAGAAGAAGGACCGGCCAACUACGUGCCAGCAGCCGCGGUAAU
This 501-nucleotide ribosomal RNA is filed under the name uncultured bacterium. RNAcentral's name for it is "bacterial SSU rRNA". It matches the Rfam family "Bacterial small subunit ribosomal RNA", at positions 8 to 524 of the family's 1533-position model. The record is from RNAcentral.